GAUGAACGCUGGCGGCGUGCCUAAUACAUGCAAGUCGUACGGUAAGGCCCUUUCGUGGGUACUCGAGUGGUGAACGGGUGAGUAACACGUGAGUAACCUGCCCCCACCUUUGGGAUUAGGCUAGGUAACUGGUGCCAAUACUGGUUAUGUGUCCUAGCUUCAUCGUCGGGGUUCGAUAGUUCCGGCGGUUGUGGAUGGACUCGCUGGCUAUCAGCUUGUUGGAGGGGUUGUGGCUUACCAAGGCGGCUACGGGUAGCCGGCCUGUGUGGGUGACCUGCCACAUUGGGACUGAGGGACGGCACAGACAGCGACGGGAGGCAGAAGUGCGGAAUAUUGCAGAAUGGGCGCAAGGCUGAUGCAGCAGGGCCGCGUGCGGGAUGACGGCGUUCGGGUUGUAAACCGCAUUCAGAAGGGACGAAGCAUUUUGUGACGGUACCUGCAGAAGAAGCACCGGCUAACUACGUG
This 465-nucleotide ribosomal RNA is filed under the name uncultured bacterium. RNAcentral's name for it is "partial 16S ribosomal RNA". It matches the Rfam family "Bacterial small subunit ribosomal RNA", at positions 28 to 507 of the family's 1533-position model. The record is from RNAcentral.